AUUUUUAAACACCAAAGAGAAGAAGAGAAUCUAUACAAUCAGUGAAUUAUCUUGGAUAAUUCUGUAGCUAGCCCCCAGAUGGGGGAAGGCUGGCCACCCUGGCUUUUUGCAACAAGUUAGUAUGCAGUGGUACCAAGCAGAUUUCAAGCCUGUUACCCCUUCACCAGUCUUUCCCUUACCCCUGGGCCUUUCAGAAUUUAUACCAUUUAAAAUCAGUGUUUUUCCUUUUAUAUCAUUGAACCAGUAGCUAGCACCAUUUCACUUUUUUUACUCUUCUCUUCUUGGCUCUAGCCUAUUUUCUCACACUUUCUUUCCAACAACUUAUCAAUUUUCUCAGUAACCAGAGCCAGGGUCAUCCAGCUGUGCUGCAUCAAAGCUAAGCCUCAGAUCACAGACAGCUGAACCCCUGGGUUGAGAGCUGUAUCUCCAGGAUAACUGAAGUGCAAGAGGUUUAGGAAAUGCAUUUCCUGAACAGAUCAGCCUAGAUUGGAACUAAAGUGAAUAUUUAAAUGUUUCCUUUGGCUUUAUAAAAUAGAGAUAGAAUUGUCAUAAUCUUAAGCUUUUCCUAAAUAAGGUUAUUAGUUACAGAGUUUGAAGAAGUUUGAAUUUGAAAUUAUCUAAUAGAAACAUCUUUAAUAUCAUAAAUUUGUCUUCCUAGAUUGAUCAGCAUUAAAGCUUAGUAGUGAAUUUUUUUGUUGAAAGGUUUCCAAGAAGCAGUAUUUUUCAGGGAGCUAUAUUACCGUAAUAGAGAAUACUUUUAAAUAUUAGGUAUAUCGCACAAAGUAACAACCAAACAUGUUUGUACUAGUCGUUCUUACUGGAUGUACUUAAAUAACUUUUUAUAUACACUCAAAUAUUAGAUCCUGUAAGAUCUUUGGAGAGAUUUCCGUGGUUUCAGUGGCUAAUGAAGAUAGAAACUCCGUCCUUUUUUCAGUCAAAACAAUCUGUAUUUGAACUUAAAAUUCAAAGAAAUUGGGGAAAAUAGUGGGAACUGAAUUCCUUCUAAAUUCCUGUUCAUUGCUCAAAGUUGUCAGAAAUUAAUUUUAAAAAUUGCUAGAAGAUUUUUAAUAGACAAGGGUUGUCUUUAUUAGUGAAUCCCUACUCCUCAUUUACUGAUUUUACUGAGGUCUGUGACUGGUGUUAAGGACUGAGUCACAAACAGGAUUUGCUUAACUUGACAGCUGUUGUUUCUGUUCAAAAUGGCCUGCUCCUCUCCUUAGUUAACAUUCCCAUGUUUGUGAAUCAGCAGUUUAACCAGUAUUAUUUGUUUCAUAUUAUGUUAAGCAGUCAUUGAUUUUUGGCUUUCAUUAAUACAUUUCCAGUAGUUUUCAAUGAUUCAGUGAAUAUUAAAUGGGUGUUCGAGCCUACAACAUGAGGCUUUCUACAAGUCACAUGUUUAGCCAUCUCCAUUUGUAAAUCAGAGUCCAAAGAAUUGUACAAACUGGAUAUGUUUGUCAUACAGUAAUAUCCAAAGCUCAUCUGUAAACAUUUCCUAGCUACUCCUCAGUGAUAAAUGAUGAUACAGUCCUUUACCAGAACAAAAUGACACCCUAAUAAGGCUUACAUCAAUGGUGACAGGAGAGAGAUGCAAUCAAAUAUACACAAUUUUUACGUACAAGUAUGUGCUUACUUUUAUUAUUAUAAAUAGUCAAAGUGUAAGUAGUAAAGCAGUAGAUCCUCAUUUCUGCUAUGGAAUUAUACUUAGCCUUGUGUGCUUAUCCAAAGGAAAGUGAUAGUUCUUCACUUCCAUUUGAUCUGUUGUUUUUUUGUUUGUUUGUUUUUUUCCCCGUCCCACAGAAUGAAGAAUACUUUUAGAUGUUGACAUCUAAGAAAGCUGAGAUGGUAUGUAGUAGACUACAAAUGAUGAAAGUUUAAUGAAAGUUAUUUUCUCAUAGUGGCUCUAAAUUGGCUAUUUCACAGAGUGAAGUGAGUCCAGUGGAUUGAGAUUGAAUUUCUUACUCUCUGUAAUCCUGUAGUUACUAAAAGUAAUGUGGAAUCCAGAGUUAAGAAAACUGAUUUAACUUCAAUUUUCACAUUAUUGCUAUAUGUAGGAAUUUGUUACUUCGAAGAGAGGAAGGAUUUUUAUGUCCUGAUAUACUCUGUUGUAAGCCUGGAAGUCAAAAUUGGAAACUAUCUUUUAUGAAUAUAAUGAAAGAUAAUAAUGUAAAGCAGCAGGAAAUGGGGAUUUUAAACUUCUAAACUAGGAUAAAGCUUUCUUAUUAUUCAAAUUAUGAACCAAAACAUUUCUAGGUCAAAACAUUUCUAGGUCAAAGACCCACUCCUCCAGUAUUAGGGAUAUCAAUAUAAAAAGCUUGCUUUAAAACAUGGGUAUAAACAGUUAAAAAGCUAAUUAAUAUACAUCUUUGUAUUUGAAUUUGCUGAGCUGUAUUGCUAUAUAUGGCUUUUUAAGAGCCAUCAUUAAAAUACAAUAGCAUUUGUUCACACCUUCAUGCAUACAGCUGAAUCUUGUCAACGUUCAUGGAAGUUAUGAAUGCUAAAUGGGAAAAUAUUUUUUCCUAAGUUUUUUUUUUUUUUUUAUGCACACUUUUGCAUAUUGGAAAGUCCAUGAAAUACUGAGAACAUAACAGAGAAACAGGGAUGGAAUAUAAUGCUAUAUGUAUAUCAUCUAUGCAUACUAUUAAAAAUAUACUAUUUGUGUUAAAUGCUAUAGUAGCAUUUAGUAAGCUACAUCAUGUAAACUAGGAUUUUCCACAAAGUUUAAAAAACAAAGCAAAAAAUUCUAUCUG
This is a long non-coding RNA of Oxyura jamaicensis (ruddy duck), 2747 nucleotides long. RefSeq lists it as uncharacterized. The transcript is spliced from 4 exons. The record is from RefSeq and is a predicted model, not a curated record. Lineage: Eukaryota; Metazoa; Chordata; Aves; Anseriformes; Anatidae.